ACUCCUACGGGAGGCAGCAGUGGGGAAUAUUGCACAAUGGGCGCAAGCCUGAUGCAGCCAUGCCGCGUGUAUGAAGAAGGCCUUCGGGUUGUAAAGUACUUUCAGCGGGGAGGAAGGUGCUGAGGUU
Molecule: ribosomal RNA, 127 nt
Filed under: uncultured Enterobacter sp.
Lineage: Bacteria; Pseudomonadati; Pseudomonadota; Gammaproteobacteria; Enterobacterales; Enterobacteriaceae
Description: partial 16S ribosomal RNA
Rfam family: Bacterial small subunit ribosomal RNA
Source: RNAcentral